This 440-nucleotide ribosomal RNA is filed under the name uncultured bacterium. RNAcentral describes it as "partial 16S ribosomal RNA". It matches the Rfam family "Bacterial small subunit ribosomal RNA", at positions 338 to 795 of the family's 1533-position model. The record is from RNAcentral.
CCUACGGGAGGCAGCAGUGGGGAAUAUUGCACAAUGGGGGAAACCCUGAUGCAGCGACGCCGCGUGAGUUAAGAAGUAUUUCGUUACGUAAAGCUCUAUCAGCAGGGAAGAAAAUGACGGUACCUGACUAAGAAGCCCCGGCUAACUACGUGCCAGCAGCCGCGGUAAUACGUAGGGGGCAAGCGUUAUCCGGAGUUACUGGGUGUAAAGGGAGCGUAGACGGCAGGGCAAUUCUUGAGUGAAACGCCAGGGCUGAACCCCCGAAAUGCGUUGGAAACUGUGCGGCUGGAGUGCAGGAGAGGUAAGGGGAAUUCCUAGUGUAGCGGUGAAAUGCGUAGAUAUUAGGAGGAACAGCAGUGGCGAAGGCGGCUUACUGGACUGUAACUGACGUUGAGGCUCGAAAGCGUGGGGAGCAAACAGGAUUAGAUACCCGGGUAGUC